UUAAGCGACUAAGCGUACACGGUGGAUGCCCUGGCAGUCAGAGGCGAUGAAGGACGUGCUAAUCUGCGAUAAGCGUCGGUGAGGUGAUAUGAACCGUUAUAACCGGCGAUUUCCGAAUGGGGAAACCCAGUGUGAUUCGUCACACUAUCAUUAACUGAAUCCAUAGGUUAAUGAGGCGAACCGGGGGAACUGAAACAUCUAAGUACCCCGAGGAAAAGAAAUCAACCGAGAUUCCCCCAGUAGCGGCGAGCGAACGGGGAGGAGCCCAGAGCCUGAAUCAGUGUGUGUGUUAGUGGAAGCGUCUGGAAAGGCGCGCGAUACAGGGUGACAGCCCCGUACACAAAAAUGCACAUAUUGUGAGCUCGAUGAGUAGGGCGGGACACGUGGUAUCCUGUCUGAAUAUGGGGGGACCAUCCUCCAAGGCUAAAUACUCCUGACUGACCGAUAGUGAACCAGUACCGUGAGGGAAAGGCGAAAAGAACCCCGGCGAGGGGAGUGAAAAAGAACCUGAAACCGUGUACGUACAAGCAGUGGGAGCCUCUUAAUGGGGUGACUGCGUACCUUUUGUAUAAUGGGUCAGCGACUUAUAUUCUGUAGCAAGGUUAACCGAAUAGGGGAGCCGAAGGGAAACCGAGUCUUAACUGGGCGUUAAGUUGCAGGGUAUAGACCCGAAACCCGGUGAUCUAGCCAUGGGCAGGUUGAAGGUUGGGUAACACUAACUGGAGGACCGAACCGACUAAUGUUGAAAAAUUAGCGGAUGACUUGUGGCUGGGGGUGAAAGGCCAAUCAAACCGGGAGAUAGCUGGUUCUCCCCGAAAGCUAUUUAGGUAGCGCCUCGUGAAUUCAUCUCCGGGGGUAGAGCACUGUUUCGGCAAGGGGGUCAUCCCGACUUACCAACCCGAUGCAAACUGCGAAUACCGGAGAAUGUUAUCACGGGAGACACACGGCGGGUGCUAACGUCCGUCGUGAAGAGGGAAACAACCCAGACCGCCAGCUAAGGUCCCAAAGUCAUGGUUAAGUGGGAAACGAUGUGGGAAGGCCCAGACAGCCAGGAUGUUGGCUUAGAAGCAGCCAUCAUUUAAAGAAAGCGUAAUAGCUCACUGGUCGAGUCGGCCUGCGCGGAAGAUGUAACGGGGCUAAACCAUGCACCGAAGCUGCGGCAGCGACACUAUGUGUUGUUGGGUAGGGGAGCGUUCUGUAAGCCUGUGAAGGUGGCCUGUGAGGGUUGCUGGAGGUAUCAGAAGUGCGAAUGCUGACAUAAGUAACGAUAAAGCGGGUGAAAAGCCCGCUCGCCGGAAGACCAAGGGUUCCUGUCCAACGUUAAUCGGGGCAGGGUGAGUCGACCCCUAAGGCGAGGCCGAAAGGCGUAGUCGAUGGGAAACAGGUUAAUAUUCCUGUACUUGGUGUUACUGCGAAGGGGGGACGGAGAAGGCUAUGUUGGCCGGGCGACGGUUGUCCCGGUUUAAGCGUGUAGGCUGGUUUUCCAGGCAAAUCCGGAAAACCAAGGCUGAGGCGUGAUGACGAGGCACUACGGUGCUGAAGCGACAAAUGCCCUGCUUCCAGGAAAAGCCUCUAAGCAUCAGGUAACAUCAAAUCGUACCCCAAACCGACACAGGUGGUCAGGUAGAGAAUACCAAGGCGCUUGAGAGAACUCGGGUGAAGGAACUAGGCAAAAUGGUGCCGUAACUUCGGGAGAAGGCACGCUGAUAUGUAGGUGAAGCGACUUGCUCGUGGAGCUGAAAUCAGUCGAAGAUACCAGCUGGCUGCAACUGUUUAUUAAAAACACAGCACUGUGCAAACACGAAAGUGGACGUAUACGGUGUGACGCCUGCCCGGUGCCGGAAGGUUAAUUGAUGGGGUUAGCGGCAACGCGAAGCUCUUGAUCGAAGCCCCGGUAAACGGCGGCCGUAACUAUAACGGUCCUAAGGUAGCGAAAUUCCUUGUCGGGUAAGUUCCGACCUGCACGAAUGGCGUAAUGAUGGCCAGGCUGUCUCCACCCGAGACUCAGUGAAAUUGAACUCGCUGUGAAGAUGCAGUGUACCCGCGGCAAGACGGAAAGACCCCGUGAACCUUUACUAUAGCUUGACACUGAACAUUGAGCCUUGAUGUGUAGGAUAGGUGGGAGGCUUUGAAGUGUGGACGCCAGUCUGCAUGGAGCCGACCUUGAAAUACCACCCUUUAAUGUUUGAUGUUCUAACGUGGGCCCCUUACCGGGGUUGCGGACAGUGUCUGGUGGGUAGUUUGACUGGGGCGGUCUCCUCCUAAAGAGUAACGGAGGAGCACGAAGGUUGGCUAAUCCUGGUCGGACAUCAGGAGGUUAGUGCAAUGGCAUAAGCCAGCUUGACUGCGAGCGUGACGGCGCGAGCAGGUGCGAAAGCAGGUCAUAGUGAUCCGGUGGUUCUGAAUGGAAGGGCCAUCGCUCAACGGAUAAAAGGUACUCCGGGGAUAACAGGCUGAUACCGCCCAAGAGUUCAUAUCGACGGCGGUGUUUGGCACCUCGAUGUCGGCUCAUCACAUCCUGGGGCUGAAGUAGGUCCCAAGGGUAUGGCUGUUCGCCAUUUAAAGUGGUACGCGAGCUGGGUUUAGAACGUCGUGAGACAGUUCGGUCCCUAUCUGCCGUGGGCGCUGGAGAACUGAGGGGGGCUGCUCCUAGUACGAGAGGACCGGAGUGGACGCAUCACUGGUGUUCGGGUUGUCAUGCCAAUGGCACUGCCCGGUAGCUAAAUGCGGAAGAGAUAAGUGCUGAAAGCAUCUAAGCACGAAACUUGCCCCGAGAUGAGUUCUCCCUGACUCCUUGAGGGUCCUGAAGGAACGUUGAAGACGACGACGUUGAUAGGCCGGGUGUGUAAGCGCAGCGAUGCGUUGAGCUAACCGGUACUAAUGAACCGUGAGGCUUAACCUU
RNAcentral lists this ribosomal RNA (2902 nucleotides) under Escherichia coli. RNAcentral describes it as "bacterial LSU rRNA". It matches the Rfam family "Bacterial large subunit ribosomal RNA". The record is from RNAcentral. Lineage: Bacteria; Pseudomonadati; Pseudomonadota; Gammaproteobacteria; Enterobacterales; Enterobacteriaceae.